GGCUGAAACUCGCCUACAUAAAGCUGGAGUUACUAGUAAUCGCAGAUCAGAAUGCUGCGGUGAAUGCGUUCCCGGGUCUUGUACACACCGCCCGUCACACCACGGAAGUUGGGGGCGCCCGAAGCCACUUAUCUAACCCUUUUGGGAAGCGAGUGUCGAAGGUGAAAUCAAUAACUGGGGUGAAGUCGUAACAAGGUACC
This 200-nucleotide ribosomal RNA is filed under the name uncultured bacterium. RNAcentral describes it as "partial 16S ribosomal RNA". It matches the Rfam family "Bacterial small subunit ribosomal RNA", at positions 1303 to 1500 of the family's 1533-position model. The record is from RNAcentral.